GUGGGGAAUCUUCCACAAUGGACGAAAGUCUGAUGGAGCAACGCCGCGUGAGUGAAGAAGGGUUUCGGCUCGUAAAGCUCUGUUGUCGGGGACGAAUGUGCAGUAUUUGAAUAAAGUACUGUAAUGACGGUACCUGACGAGGAAGCCACGGCUAACUACGUGCCAGCAGCCGCGGUAAUACGUAGGUGGCAAGCGGUGUCCGGAAUUAUUGGGCGUAAAGGGAGCGCAGGCGGGAAGGUAAGUCGGUCUUAAAAGUGCGGGGCUCAACCCCGUGAUGGGAUCGAAACUAUCUUUCUUGAGUGCAGGAGAGGAAAGUGGAAGUCCUAGUGUAGCGGUGAAAUGCGUAGAUAUUAGGAGGAACACCAGUGGCGAAGGCGACUUUCUGGACUGUAACUGACGCUGAGGCUCGAAAGCCAGGGGAGCGAACGGGAUUAGAAACCCCGGUAGUCC
Molecule: ribosomal RNA, 450 nt
Filed under: uncultured bacterium
Lineage: Bacteria
Description: partial 16S ribosomal RNA
Rfam family: Bacterial small subunit ribosomal RNA
Source: RNAcentral